UGCCAGCAGCCGCGGUAAUACGGAGGGCGCAAGCGUUGUUCGGAAUCAUUGGGCGUAAAGCGCGUGUAGGCGGCCAGGUAAGUCGGAUGUGAAAGCCCGGGGCCCAACCCCGGAACUGCACUCGAUACUGCCUGGCUGGAGUCCCGGAGAGGAUGGCGGAAUUCCCGGUGUAGAGGUGAAAUUCGUAGAUAUCGGGAGGAACACCAGUGGCGAAGGCGGCCAUCUGGACGGUGACUGACGCUGAGACGCGAAAGCGUGGGGAGCAAACAGGAUUAGAUAC
Molecule: ribosomal RNA, 280 nt
Filed under: uncultured bacterium
Lineage: Bacteria
Description: partial 16S ribosomal RNA
Rfam family: Bacterial small subunit ribosomal RNA
Source: RNAcentral